RNAcentral lists this ribosomal RNA (482 nucleotides) under uncultured bacterium. RNAcentral describes it as "partial 16S ribosomal RNA". It matches the Rfam family "Bacterial small subunit ribosomal RNA", at positions 28 to 507 of the family's 1533-position model. The record is from RNAcentral.
GACGAACGCUGGCGGCGUGCUUAACACAUGCAAGUCGAACGAUGAAGAAGAGAAACGCGAACUUCGGUUCAAAUUUCACUUCGGAUUAGUGGCAGACGGGUGAGUAACGCGUGAGCAACCUACCUCUUACAAAGGGAUAGCCUCGGGAAACCGUGAUUAAUACCAUAUGACACAUUCAUAAGGCAUCUUAAGAAUGUUAAAGCUACGGCGGUAAGAGAUGGGCUCGCGUCCCAUUAGCUAGUUGGUGAGGUAACGGCCCACCAAGGCGACGAUGGGUAACCUGCCUGAGAGGGUGAACGGUCACAUUGGAACUGAGACACGGUCCAAACUCCUACGGGAGGCAGCAGUGGGGAAUAUUGCACAAUGGAGGGAACUCUGAUGCAGCGACGCCGCGUGAGCGAUGAAGGAAUUCGUAUCGUAAAGCUCUGUUCUAUGGGAAGAAAAGGACUGUACCAUAGGAGAAAGCCCCGGCUAAAUACGUG